Non-coding RNA from Nicotiana tabacum (common tobacco), 483 nucleotides. The record is from RefSeq and is a predicted model, not a curated record. Lineage: Eukaryota; Viridiplantae; Streptophyta; Magnoliopsida; Solanales; Solanaceae.
UAAAUUUCUUGUAGUUGUGGAACACAGGGAGGGGCAGCGACAAACAUCCGAGAGUUAUUAGAGUGAGACAGUGAAUCAUUUUACCUCGAAAUUUGAGGGUAAAAAGUUUCUCAAAACUUGUAGCGGAGGCACUUUUGGACUUUUACAGCGUAUUGGGAAAAAUUGAGUUUACAUAUCGAAGUGAUUGAAAGAUGACGUGUCAUGACACGAAGGCCGGUCAAAGAAUGAUGAUUAGCAAAGAGGCACGAGUUGCAACAGAUACGAGCAGACGCACAAGUAGAGGCACGAGCAGUUACUCAAAAGACUCGACGCUCAUACCUAUUUAGAUCCGCAAAUUAAGGAGAAUGAAUCUGACAGCACAAGAGAGUACAAAUGCAGUAUUUAAUAAGCAUUAAAUACUAAAAACGUUAAAGAAUUUGUAUUAAAUUACAAUAAUUAUGUAACGUAACAUUUAAUGCCUUUAAUUAUCUAUAAUGGCCUGAU